This 247-nucleotide ribosomal RNA is filed under the name uncultured bacterium. RNAcentral's name for it is "partial 16S ribosomal RNA". It matches the Rfam family "Bacterial small subunit ribosomal RNA", at positions 523 to 769 of the family's 1533-position model. The record is from RNAcentral.
AUACGUAGGUGGCAAGCGUUGUCCGGAAUUACUGGGUGUAAAGGGCGUGUAGGCGGGAAAGCAAGUCAGAAGUGAAAUCCCAUGGCUUAACUGUGGAGCUGCUUCUGAAACUGUUUUUCUUGAGUGCUGGAGAGGAAAGUGGAAUUCCCAGUGUAGCGGUGAAAUUCGUAGAUAUUCGGAGGAACACCAGUGGCGAAGGCGGCUUACUGGUCCAUUACUGACGCUGAGGUGCGAAAGCGUGGGGAGC